This 45-nucleotide non-coding RNA is filed under the name Schistosoma mansoni. The record is from RNAcentral. Lineage: Eukaryota; Metazoa; Platyhelminthes; Trematoda; Strigeidida; Schistosomatidae.
AUCCAGCUUACGGGUCACAAAUAGGAUGAAACGCUCGUCCUGGAU